This 746-nucleotide long non-coding RNA is filed under the name Setaria italica (foxtail millet). Its description in RNAcentral is "long non-coding RNA (SITA_LNC006045)". Lineage: Eukaryota; Viridiplantae; Streptophyta; Magnoliopsida; Poales; Poaceae. The record is from RNAcentral.
UGUUGUUAGGUCGAGCUAGCUACAAAGUAGCUCUUUCUUCUCCACAGGUUGGCAUGUCUUUUCUUUAAGUCACUCCCUCCUUUCUUAUAUACAUGGUAGGACGUGUAAAUUAAGUAGUUUAUUUUGAACUAAUUAGCUUAUCGUAAACGUCGUAUAUUCAAAAACAAAAGGUACUAGUUACAUGCAUUUUUCUUGAAACAUUUUGGUGGGCUGAUUGCUUGCUCAGUUAGUAUAUAAUUUUUUUCUUCUCUGACACUUUCCUAGUAGGAUCCGAGCGUUGUGUCCAUCUCAAUAUCAAGUUCAUGCCAAAGAACAUGGCAUUAUUCAUACACGAAAUAUUUUGAUUCUACUGAUUAUAUUCAUGUUGCUCAAUUGUUUUUGCUUUUUGGUAAUUAACAGGUUUAGAAAGGAGGAAAGGAUACCACGUGAUCAAGACGUAGACAUGCCUGGUAGAGUUCCCACAUCUUGGCCGAAUUUGAUUGGCAUGAAUGUUUUCCAGGCUGUUCAAAUUAUCCGCACGGAGCGGCCCGAUCUAAGAGUUGUUCGAGUACUCCCUCCAAACGAGCAGCCAUCGCCGCCUCAACCAGGCAUGACACGUGUUAUUAUCUACAACAACAAUAAUCAGCAAGUCAUCGCCCCGGCACCAUACAUUGGCUAGCCCGCAUUACAUGGUGGGCUUUAUGUUAUAUGCCUUAAUAUUAAUAUAUAUAGAAGGCUAUAGUCAAUUAAAUAAUGUGCGUAAGGAU